Molecule: ribosomal RNA, 316 nt
Filed under: uncultured bacterium
Lineage: Bacteria
Description: bacterial SSU rRNA
Rfam family: Bacterial small subunit ribosomal RNA
Source: RNAcentral
AAGUCUGAUGGAGCAACGCCGCGUGAGUGAAGAAGGUUUUCGGAUCGUAAAGCUCUGUUGUUGGUGAAGAAGGAUAGAGGUAGUAACUGGCCUUUAUUUGACGGUAAUCAACCAGAAAGUCACGGCUAACUACGUGCCAGCAGCCGCGGUAAUACGUAGGUGGCAAGCGUUGUCCGGAUUUAUUGGGCGUAAAGCGAGCGCAGGCGGAAGAAUAAGUCUGAUGUGAAAGCCCUCGGCUUAACCGAGGAACUGCAUCGGAAACUGUUUUUCUUGAGUGCAGAAGAGGAGAGUGGAACUCCAUGUGUAGCGGUGGAAU